AUGGAUGAGGCUUGCAACAAGGCUCUGUGCCGCGAGGCCGCCGCCUGCGUUUGCCAAGGAGAAGGACAAGAUCACCCCGACGCUGCUUCUUAUACCUCGCCCUCGGCCUCGGGAGCGUCCAGCGGGUUGUCGUCGUGCUCAUUGACACCGAAUCUGGGUGAUGGGUUGGGUUACCUCCCAUCCGAAGAUCAUUCUUCGGAGUCAUCUUCAGCGUCGUCGAGCACCUUGCAGCUGGACUCUGAGGCCGAGGGACCUCUCUACGAGCUGUCUUCGCUGCUAGCCCAGCUUCCCGCCAGGAGAGGGUUGUCCAAGUACUACCAAGGGAAGUCCCAAUCAUUCACAUCAAUAUCCUACGCUACAUGUCUUCAAGACCUUGGAAAGGAAGUUACGUACAGCAAGAGGAUGAAGACAUGCAAGAGCAAUACAGCAGGAUCAGUCAUGAACCAGCGGUCAAAUCACUUACCGAGGACAUGCAACAAGAUGAUAGCCAAGAGGCCCUCAAAAAGUUCAUUUGCUUGUCAAAUGUCCAGAGCAAGCAGCACCAACCUCUUGUACAGGAGUGCCAAUUUACCUGCACACCAGAACAAGGAAGAUGUACAAAUGCAUAUGAACUCUUAA
RNAcentral lists this ribosomal RNA (618 nucleotides) under Triticum aestivum (bread wheat). RNAcentral describes it as "partial small subunit ribosomal RNA". The record is from RNAcentral. Lineage: Eukaryota; Viridiplantae; Streptophyta; Magnoliopsida; Poales; Poaceae.